This is a long non-coding RNA of Ooceraea biroi (clonal raider ant), 1026 nucleotides long. RefSeq lists it as uncharacterized. The record is from RefSeq and is a predicted model, not a curated record. Lineage: Eukaryota; Metazoa; Arthropoda; Insecta; Hymenoptera; Formicidae.
AUGCACUCAGAAUGCGAUGAGCCAACUCAUCUAAACUUUCAACGCGGUCAAGUGGAAAAGAAAAACGAUUGCGAUGCGUUUGCUCUUAGCCGCAUCUUAGCACAACUCUCACUGUCAGGAGUUACAACGUGACGUAAUAAUCAUGCUUGGCGACUGAACGAAUUUCGGAAUGCGGGGAUGUAAACCCGGCACAACUUCGGUGAUGUAUAAAAGAGGAUUUACCCAAUUCUGUUUUUACGUUCUCACAAAACUAUACGUUUUUGUUACGCAAAAAAGGCUGCAGCUUUGUAAAAUUAUAAAAUUUAAAGAAAUUUUCGCGUGCAACGACUGGAUACUACGUUCGCUGCCUGCAAACGCAAGAGAAUCCAACCGAGGUCGUACCGAUUUCCAUGACCGAUUCAAUAUUGCCACAAUUUUCAAAAUUCAUUAUAUUUUCAGGACAAUUUUCAAAGGAGAAAAAAAAAGAGAGAAAAAGGAGACUCAAACAGAACUCAAAAUUUAACGAAAUCUGACUGAUAGAUACGCACCCCGACGGUAUCCAGCGAAUUGUACACCUAAAAGCGAUACCGCGUGAAAAGGGGGACUGUACAAAUAUGACGAGCCCAUUAAGCUUACAUGCACAAGUGUCUUCACUUUUAUGUGAUCCCAAAGCAGAUAUUCUUAUACGUGAUUAAACUUAUUUCUUAUUAUAUGGGCACAUGUAAUUGUGUAUAAUUAUUUUCUGCAUUUAAGUACUUUUAUUUAUUAUUUUCAGAGACGUUUAUCAGUUGGUUUAUCAAGUAUAAGAAUAUCGCUUUACUCAUGCGCAAUUUCAUGUACGAAGAUACUUAUCACAAUUCUUGCUACAGAUUGUGUUUAGUUUCGUCUAUGUAGAGAGUAUCGAAAUUAUACAAACAUAUGAACAUAUUAAUGUAUAUAUAGAUAUAUAGUUUGGAAUGCAGACAAUGUAAAAACGCAGCUAUCUAUCUCCUGCAUUACCUACACAAUACUAUUGUAUUAAAUAGCGAGAGCUUUGUCUGAUCGAAA